CAGUCGCCGCGGUAAUACGAAGGGUGCAAGCGUUACUCGGAAUUACUGGGCGUAAAGCGUGCGUAGGUGGUGGUUUAAGUCCGUUGUGAAAGCCCUGGGCUCAACCUGGGAAUUGCAGUGGAUACUGGGUCACUAGAGUGUGGUAGAGGAUAGUGGAAUUUCCGGUGUAGCAGUGAAAUGCGUAGAGAUCGGAAGGAACAUCUGUGGCGAAGGCGACUAUCUGGGCCAACACUGACACUGAGGCACGAAAGCGUGGGGAGCAAACAGGAUUAGAUACCCCGGUAGUCCCUGUCUCUUAUAU
Molecule: ribosomal RNA, 301 nt
Filed under: uncultured bacterium
Lineage: Bacteria
Description: partial 16S ribosomal RNA
Rfam family: Bacterial small subunit ribosomal RNA
Source: RNAcentral